UACGUAGGGGGCUAGCGUUGUCCGGAAUCAUUGGGCGUAAAGCGCGCGUAGGCGGCCCGGUAAGUCCGCUGUAAAAGUCAAAGGCUCAACCUUUGAAUGUCAGUGGAUACUGCCGGGCUAGAGUCCGGAAGAGGCGAGUGGAACUCCUGGUGUAGCGGUGGAAUGCGCAGAUAUCAGGAAGAACACCGACGGCGAAGGCAGCUCGCUGGGACGGUACUGACGCUGAGGCGCGAAAGCGUGGGGAGCGAACAGGAUUAGAUACCCUGGUAGUCCACGCCGUAAACGAUGGGCACUAGGUGUGGGAGGUGUCGACUCCUCCCGUGCCGGCGCUAACGCAUUAAGUGCCCCGCCUGGGGAGUACGGCCGCAAGGCUAAA
This 376-nucleotide ribosomal RNA is filed under the name uncultured bacterium. RNAcentral's name for it is "bacterial SSU rRNA". It matches the Rfam family "Bacterial small subunit ribosomal RNA", at positions 524 to 898 of the family's 1533-position model. The record is from RNAcentral.